ACUGUAAGGACGAUGCCCAUGAGCAUCAGAAAAGGCAGCCAGGUCUUCAGAAAGCCUGCACAGCUGGAGAGAGAUGACAGGAAAACCAAGCAUGUCUUUUAUCCUGUCUUCCUUCUCUCAUCCCAACCGGUCGUGGCAGAUGGACGCCCCUCCCCGAGCCUGAUUCUCUAGGAGGUUUCUUCCUGUUAAAAGGGAGUUCUUCCCUUCCCACUGUCGCCAAAGUGCUUGCUCAUAGGGGGUCAUAUGAUUGUUGGGUUUUUCUCUCUAUGUAUUAUUGUAGGUCUUCCUUACAAUAUAAAGCACCUUGAGGCGACUGUUGUUGUGAUUUGGCGCUGUAUAAAUAAAAUUCCGAAUUCUAUACAGCCGUGCGGACAUCAACUUGAGAGAAAAGAAGGUCGAUGAUGUUAGCGAUGCUUCUGUUAAGCCACACUCAGCAAACUUAAAUUGUGUGUGUGUGUCUCUGUGUGUAUGUGCACCAUAGUAUAUAAGGUACAAAGGGCUACACGUUUCUGUGGCAUCUGUGAGAAGACUAGCGGAAUAGCAAGAUUUUUUCUUGAGUUUAAUCGACCAGUAAAGCAGUCACAAGAAAUAUCCUUAGAUCAAAUAAGACUAAAUAUUGAGGCCGCUCUGCAUAAUUAAGUAAGAGUGAUUAAGUUAUACUAAACAACCCUUUAAUAUUUUAAUCACCAAGCAGGUAGUCAGAGCACAUUUUCAAUUAAGAAUAAUUAAAAAAAAAAAAAAUAACUGAGUGACUGCGACAACUUCAGAGGUCUCAUCUAUUCCUGAUACUUUCUGACAAUUACUGCAGUUUUGCUGGGAUGUGUAGUUUUUUUUUAUUGUCAUGCUAUAAUUUAAAGACACUCCAGUAAUGUCCUAUAUACACUCUUAUUAUUUCCCCAAGAAUCAGGUCUCUCUCUCUUGUCCUGAGACACAACAGGUUCAAGGCAUACCUGUGAAAUUAUGUCCGAACCCCUGGGAUUCCACAGAGAAACCUCAUUCACAGGCUUCAGCCCUACUUCUUAGGCAGGCUUUGAAGAGAGCAGCUGUGGAGUACAGGGCUUGCACUGUAUCACCUUCUAAGGUAGACAGCCUUCAGAUAUCUUGAGAAUAAGGAUGAUAGUCACUAAUACUAUGUGCAUUCCUCUGAAAGUAGUUCACUUCAGUGCUCCCCGGUAGAUUGAAUUUUUUUUAAAAGGAUACUGUUAAUCUGUUCAUGCUCAUCUGGACCAAGUGAAACAUCGAGUAAAACAUCACUAGAUCAUUGUAACUGAGGUUCGAUUUGGAUAGAAGAUUCAUGUGAUUAAUAAUUGUGUUUGCUUUUUAGCAACAGUCUACAGUUGAGUCCUACAAGAUGUUUAAAAAAAAGAAAGAAAGAAAAUAAGCAUGAACUGAGCCUCUAAAUGGGUUUGUAAGCUUCUCCUGAAUUCUUAAUACUUUGUCAGGAAAACAGUAAACCGGUGAAGUGACUUAUUGAACCAUAUAAACAUGCACGGAAAUAGAGUACAUAAGGCAAAAUAAAAAGUUUGUGUACAAUUCUAACAAGCUUGAAAAUCAAUCUUUGGUAUGACGAAGUGAAGCUUUUGAUCAAAAUGACUGAUCGGUGGAUGAGCUGGGGACUGGUUGCUGUCA
Molecule: long non-coding RNA, 1629 nt
Organism: Oreochromis niloticus (Nile tilapia)
Lineage: Eukaryota; Metazoa; Chordata; Actinopteri; Cichliformes; Cichlidae
Exons: 2
Source: RefSeq, a predicted model, not a curated record